Molecule: non-coding RNA, 69 nt
Organism: Rattus norvegicus (Norway rat)
Lineage: Eukaryota; Metazoa; Chordata; Mammalia; Rodentia; Muridae
Source: Rfam
CGGAUUUAGCUCAGUGGUAGAGCGCUUGCCUAGCAAGCACAAGGCCCUGGGUUCGGUCCCCAGCUCCGA